RNAcentral lists this unclassified non-coding RNA (2550 nucleotides) under Dimorphilus gyrociliatus. RNAcentral's name for it is "dgyrCDS13228". The record is from RNAcentral. Lineage: Eukaryota; Metazoa; Annelida; Polychaeta; Dinophilidae.
CAAACUUUUUAAGCCUAUACUGGAAAUUUAGUGCAUCACAACAUAUAUGCUAUUUUGCAAUACAGACGAAUAGAUAAUUAAAAGUAGAUACGAACGGAGAUAAGACAAAUUUACUUAUUAUUUGUAAAGCAUGAUAUCAUUAUAUAGAAAAUUACUUUAUUCUAUAAUUGUCUUACUGUUCGUAACGAGUUUAUCGAUUAGUUUACUGAUGACGUUUAUGCACGAAAAAUUAUUAAAAACUGGAUAUAUCUCCUCUAAAGCCGAAACAUCGUCUGUAGCCGGAUUCAAGUUAACAGAUAAAAUAGAAUUAAAUAAAAUAAACAAGAAAUACGAAGAAUCUUGUGGAAGAUUUUUAAAAGAUAUACAAAUAUUGGAUAGUUGCCCUUGUCUAUCGAAUAAAUUAGUUGGCAGAAGAAAAGCGCUUGUUGUUCCCAGAAACUGGUCAGAUAUAGAGAUCGCAUUUAAAGGAACUCUCCAAACAAAUGGCGAAUUUAGGCCCCAUUGCAACAAAUGGCAGACUAUCGCUAUAAUAAUACCUUUUAUGAAAAGAGAAAUGCAUUUACGAUUGUUCAUCGAUCAUAUUCAUCCGAUAUUACAAGCCCAACAAAUACAUUAUAGAAUAUUUGUUAUUGAACAAAAUCAACCAAAUAUAUUCAACAAAGGUACAUUGAUGAAUAGUGGAUAUUUAGAAGCUAAGAAACAUUUUCAAUUUGAUUGUGUGAUCUUUCAUGACGUUGAUAUGUUAUCUGAAGAUGACAGGAAUAUUUAUAAUUGUAUAGAUUCUCCUAGGCAUAUUGGAAGUCACGUAGAUAUUUUUCAAUAUAGAUUGUUUUAUGAUAAAUUGGUGGGUGGCGCUUUGGCCUUUGAGAUAAAAGAAUUUGAGAAUAUUAAUGGGUAUUCUACAAAAUUUUUCGGUUGGGGAGGAGAAGAUGAUGAUAUGUACAAUAGGCUCUUUUACAAAGGACUCAAAAUAACCAGAUACGAUGAACAGUUUUCAAAAUUUCGUAUGAUUCAACAUAAUAGGGAUGCUCAAAAUCCUAAUAAUAUUUAUAAGUUUAAUUCAUUUUAUCCGAAUCCGUCCCAUUACAACACCGACGGAUUGUCAUCAACGUAUUACAAAGUUGUUUCCGUUAAAGAGGGUCCUCUAUUUACAAGUAUUAAAUUAAACUUAGAAGUUGCUCAAAAUACCGAAUAUACAAACGAAGAAUUCGAAAUAUCAAGGAAGCCAAUUGAAAGAAAUACAAGUGUUGAGAAUGAAGAACAAUGCGCUGUUGAUUGCUACAGAAAGCCGAUUUGUUAUGGUUAUAAUUUUAUGGGCAAAAAAUGUUAUUUAUGGAGUAAUCAUAUUCUCAAUUCAACUAAAACUCAGUUUAAGACUUUAAAACGGAAGAUAGCGAAUGAACAACUGCUAUUAGUGGACUAUCAAAGAUUUGACGGUUUAUGCAAAGGAGAGUCAUCUAUUUAUCGGCAGAUGUCGCCAACAGAGUGCUCUAGGACUUGUAAAAAUGACGCUACCUGUCGGCUAUUUUCUUACAACUAUAACGAGGACGCAGUAGAACCUUGUUUAAAGAUUGAUAAUUCAAAUUGUUCGAAGUCUAAUUUGCAUAAGUUAGAUAAUAUAUUCACCUACUUUAAAAAGAAUUUAAGUUAAUAUUUUAUUGAUUUUUGCUCAAACUACAUCAAUUAGUGUUGUUCUUUUAUUAUUAUCUUUAGAUAAAGUUAGAUUUAAUGACGUGAACUUUUCGAUAAAAAAUGGUGAUUGUUUUCAAGAGGAUAUAGCUUCCAUCAGAGAUUUUCCAGCAGAUGAAUGUUCAGGUGAAAAGAAAAAAAACAGCAGACCUCUAAAAAUAUGAAUAUUAUAUGUCAUACUGUUUUCAAGCUAUAUUUAAAUAAAGUAUACACGUUUCUUUUUUUUUUCUUUCCAGUAAAAUGUAAAGAAACUAAAGAAUGUGAAGGAUACGUUAUAUCCUAUCAGAGUUGUUAUCUAAAGAAGAAAAUCCGAGAAUGUGUACCAAAAUCCUCUACAUUCUCUUAUGUAAUGAAAAACUCGACACUCGAAGAAAUAGAUAUGAAUAAAAUAUUAUCUCAAGGGGAUUAAAACAAGAAGUAUUGUAGAUAUUGUUGAAGAAAACGGCAAGAAGAGAAGAUUGAGAGAAAGAAAGAAAGAAAAAAGGAAAAAAGAAAUUUUUAUCCCUUGUAUAGAAAUAAAAAAACGAAAAGAGACUGUAUCAAAUGAACGAGUUAUUCGUUGUUAUUAAAUUUAUUUCUUAUUAUUAUCAUUAUGACAAAGCUUUGCUUUGGUUAGCUUUAACCUUAUUAAUUAAUUAAGUAUAUAAAUAGUUAGCAAUUAGUCAUCUUUCCAUGUUAAAAAUAGCUUAUAUAAACAUUUGAAGUAAAACAUUUCGAUUAUUCUAAACCUUUCGGGAAUUUUAGUAAGGUUCAUUUAACUUGAAAUUCUCUACAGUAUCCUUUUCUUGUUGACUCUGCAGCUUUUCUAGUAAUAACUAAUUAAUUAGCAAUAAUUCUAAGCAGUUGGAUGUUUUUGUAGAA